AUUGAACGCUGGCGGCAGGCCUAACACAUGCAAGUCGAGCGGAUGAAGGGAGCUUGCUCCUGGAUUCAGCGGCGGACGGGUGAGUAAUGCCUAGGAAUCUGCCUGGUAGUGGGGGAUAACGUCCGGAAACGGGCGCUAAUACCGCAUACGUCCUGAGGUAGAAAGGGGGGGAUCUUUGGACCUCACGCUAUCAGAUGAGCCUAGGUCGGAUUAGCUAGUUGGUGGGGUAAAGGCCUACCAAGGCGACGAUCCGUAACUGGUCUGAGAGGAUGAUCAGUCACACUGGAACUGAGACACGGUCCAGACUCCUACGGGAGGCAGCAGUGGGGAAUAUUGGACAAUGGGCGAAAGCCUGAUCCAGCAAUGCCGCGUGUGUGAAGAAGGUCUUCGGAUUGUAAAGCACUUUAAGUUGGGAGGAAGGGCAGUAAGUUAAAACCUUGCUGUUUUGACGUUACCAACAGAAUAAGCACCGGCUAACUUCGUG
Molecule: ribosomal RNA, 484 nt
Filed under: uncultured bacterium
Lineage: Bacteria
Description: partial 16S ribosomal RNA
Rfam family: Bacterial small subunit ribosomal RNA
Source: RNAcentral